RNAcentral lists this ribosomal RNA (477 nucleotides) under uncultured bacterium. Its description in RNAcentral is "partial 16S ribosomal RNA". It matches the Rfam family "Bacterial small subunit ribosomal RNA", at positions 28 to 507 of the family's 1533-position model. The record is from RNAcentral.
GAUUAACGCUGGCGGCGUGCAUAACACAUGCAAGUCGAACGAUGAAACUUAAAUGAUUUCUUCGGAAUGAACUUAAGUGGAUUAGUGGCGGACGGGUGAGUAACGCGUGAGUAACCUGCCUUACACAAGGGGAUAGCCGUUGGAAACGACGAAUAAUACCCUAUGAAACUAUCACUUCGCAUGAAGCGAUAGUCAAAGUGUUAGCGGUGUAAGAUGGACUUGCGUCUGAUUAGCUAGUUGGUGAGAAAAAAGCCCACCAAGGCAACGAUCAGUAGCCGGCUUGAGAGAGUGGACGGCCACAUUGGGACUGAGACACGGCCCAGACUCCUACGGGAGGCAGCAGUGGGGAAUUUUGCACAAUGGGGGAAACCCUGAUGCAGCGACGCCGCGUGAUUUAGAAGGCCUUCGGGUUGUAAAAAUCUUUUGUAUAGGAAGAAAAUGACAGUACUAUACGAAUAAGGUCCGGCUAAUUACGUG